RNAcentral lists this transfer RNA (71 nucleotides) under Fidelibacterota bacterium CG1_02_48_14. RNAcentral describes it as "Candidatus Marinimicrobia bacterium CG1_02_48_14 tRNA-Gln". It matches the Rfam family "tRNA". From Rfam's summary of the family: Transfer RNA (tRNA) molecules are approximately 80 nucleotides in length. Their secondary structure includes four short double-helical elements and three loops (D, anti-codon, and T loops). Further hydrogen bonds mediate the characteristic L-shaped molecular structure. tRNAs have two regions of fundamental functional importance: the anti-codon, which is responsible for specific mRNA codon recognition, and the 3' end, to which the tRNAs corresponding amino acid is attached (by aminoacyl-tRNA synthetases). tRNAs cope with the degeneracy of the genetic code in two manners: having more than one tRNA (with a specific anti-codon) for a particular amino acid; and 'wobble' base-pairing, i.e. permitting non-standard base-pairing at the 3rd anti-codon position. RNAcentral also lists the same sequence under 3 other names. Lineage: Bacteria; Pseudomonadati; Fidelibacterota. The record is from RNAcentral.
UGCCGGGUGGUGUAACGGCAACACUGCGGACUCUGGAUCCGUUAAUGGGGGUUCGAAUCCUCCCCCGGCAG